Molecule: transfer RNA, 64 nt
Filed under: Anaerococcus nagyae
Lineage: Bacteria; Bacillati; Bacillota; Tissierellia; Tissierellales; Peptoniphilaceae
Also listed under: 1 other name
Rfam family: tRNA
About the family: Transfer RNA (tRNA) molecules are approximately 80 nucleotides in length. Their secondary structure includes four short double-helical elements and three loops (D, anti-codon, and T loops). Further hydrogen bonds mediate the characteristic L-shaped molecular structure. tRNAs have two regions of fundamental functional importance: the anti-codon, which is responsible for specific mRNA codon recognition, and the 3' end, to which the tRNAs corresponding amino acid is attached (by aminoacyl-tRNA synthetases). tRNAs cope with the degeneracy of the genetic code in two manners: having more than one tRNA (with a specific anti-codon) for a particular amino acid; and 'wobble' base-pairing, i.e. permitting non-standard base-pairing at the 3rd anti-codon position.
Source: RNAcentral
CAAUAGCUCAAUUGGUAGAGCAACGGUAUCGUAAACCGUAGGUUGCAGGUUCAAUUCCUGUUUG